AACUUUCAACAACGGAUCUCUUGGUUCUGGCAUCGAUGAAGAACGCAGCGAAAUGCGAUAAGUAAUGUGAAUUGCAGAAUUCAGUGAAUCAUCGAAUCUUUGAACGCACAUUGCGCCCCCUGGUAUUCCGGGGGGCAUGCCUGUCCGAGCGUCAUUACAACCCUCAAGCUCUGCUU
RNAcentral lists this ribosomal RNA (176 nucleotides) under Pseudogymnoascus pannorum. RNAcentral's name for it is "5.8S ribosomal RNA". The stretch from base 1 to 154 matches the Rfam family "5.8S ribosomal RNA". Rfam says of the family: 5.8S ribosomal RNA (5.8S rRNA) is a component of the large subunit of the eukaryotic ribosome. It is transcribed by RNA polymerase I as part of the 45S precursor that also contains 18S and 28S rRNA. Lineage: Eukaryota; Fungi; Ascomycota; Leotiomycetes; Thelebolales; Thelebolaceae. The record is from RNAcentral.